GAUGAACGCUGGCGGCGUGCCUAAUACAUGCAAGUCGAGCGAACAGACGAGGAGCUUGCUCCUCUGACGUUAGCGGCGGACGGGUGAGUAACACGUGGAUAACCUACCUAUAAGACUGGGAUAACUUCGGGAAACCGGAGCUAAUACCGGAUAAUAUAUUGAACCGCAUGGUUCAAUAGUGAAAGACGGUUUUGCUGUCACUUAUAGAUGGAUCCGCGCCGCAUUAGCUAGUUGGUAAGGUAACGGCUUACCAAGGCAACGAUGCGUAGCCGACCUGAGAGGGUGAUCGGCCACAAUGGAACUGAGACACGGUCCAGACUCCGACGGGAGGCAGCAGUAGGGAAUCUUCCGCAAUGGGCGAAAGCCUGACGGAGCAACGCCGCGUGAGUGAUGAAGGUCUUCGGAUCGUAAAACUCUGUUAUUAGGGAAGAACAAAUGUGUAAGUAACUAUGAACGUCUUGACGGUACCUAAUCAGAAAGCCACGGCUAACUACGU
This 496-nucleotide ribosomal RNA is filed under the name uncultured bacterium. Its description in RNAcentral is "partial 16S ribosomal RNA". It matches the Rfam family "Bacterial small subunit ribosomal RNA", at positions 28 to 506 of the family's 1533-position model. The record is from RNAcentral.